GGUGGUCCCGAGGUAGGCAGUUAUCUCACUUGAUUGUUCAUGGUCAGUUACAGAUUGAACUCCUCGUUCUACUACUUCCCCCCCCUCCUCAAUACUGCACUUGAUUAGUCUAAA
Molecule: non-coding RNA, 114 nt
Filed under: Propithecus coquereli (Coquerel's sifaka)
Lineage: Eukaryota; Metazoa; Chordata; Mammalia; Primates; Indriidae
Source: RNAcentral